GAACGCGGCCCUCUGUAAUGGCGGAGCGUGGCGGGGACGGGGGCGAGAGUGAACGAUUCAACCCGGGGGAGCUCAGGAUGGCCCAACAGCAGGCCUUGAGGUUCCGAGGUCCGGCUCCCCCACCAAAUGCAGUGAUGCGAGGCCCACCACCUCUGAUGCGACCUCCUCCACCUUUUGGUAUGAUGCGAGGCCCUCCUCCACCACCACGGCCGCCCUUUGGACGUCCUCCUUUUGAUCCUAAUAUGCCGCCAAUGCCUCCUCCAGGAGGGAUACCUCCACCUAUGGGCCCUCCACACCUCCAGAGACCACCUUUCAUGCCUCCUCCCAUGAGUUCCAUGCCUCCUCCUCCGGGUAUGAUGUUUCCACCAGGAAUGCCUCCUGUGACUGCUCCUGGUACUCCAGCACUACCUCCUACGGAGGAGAUAUGGGUUGAAAAUAAAACUCCAGAUGGGAAGGUUUAUUAUUAUAAUGCUCGGACACGUGAAUCUGCAUGGACCAAGCCAGAUGGAGUUAAGGUUAUUCAGCAAUCAGAACUGACACCUAUGCUUGCAGCCCAGGCACAGGUUCAGGCUCAGGCCCAGGCGCAGGCUCAGGCCCAGGCGCAGGCUCAGGCCCAGGCACAAGCUCAGGCCCAGGCUCAGGCUCAGGCCCAGGCCCAGGCCCAGGCCCAGGCCCAGGCCCAAGCCCAAGCCCAGGCCCAGGCUCAGGCUCAGGCACAAGCUCAGGCCCAGGCCCAGGCUCAGGUCCAGGCCCAGGUCCAGGCACAAGUGCAAGCACAAGCAGUUGGAGCUUCCACCCCUACGACCAGUAGCCCAGCACCUGCAGUAUCCACUUCAACAUCAUCAUCCACCCCUUCCUCUACCACUUCUACCACAACAACUGCUACUUCAGUUGCGCAGACAGUAUCAACACCCACAACACAAGAUCAGACCCCAAGUUCUGCUGUUUCAGUUGCCACGCCUACAGUUAGUGUUUCAACUCCUGCUCCUACAGCCACACCUGUGCAAACCGUUCCCCAGCCGCACCCUCAGACGUUACCUCCUGCUGUUCCUCAUUCAGUACCUCAGCCAACAACAGCAAUACCUGCUUUUCCACCAGUAAUGGUACCUCCGUUUCGUGUUCCCCUUCCUGGCAUGCCAAUUCCACUUCCAGGUGUAUUGCCAGGAAUGGCCCCUCCUAUCGUACCCAUGAUACAUCCCCAGGUUGCUAUUGCAGCUUCACCUGCUACCUUAGCUGGAGCAACAGCAGUUUCUGAAUGGACUGAAUAUAAAACAGCAGAUGGGAAGACAUAUUAUUAUAAUAAUAGAACAUUAGAAUCAACCUGGGAAAAACCCCAAGAACUAAAGGAAAAAGAAAAGUUAGAAGAGAAGAUUAAAGAGCCAAUUAAAGAACCCUCUGAAGAGCCUCUGCCAAUGGAGACGGAGGAGGAGGAUCCUAAAGAAGAGCCUAUAAAGGAGAUAAAGGAGGAGCCCAAAGAAGAGGAGAUGACUGAAGAAGAAAAGGCUGCCCAGAAGGCAAAGCCAGUUGCUACUGCUCCUAUUCCUGGUACUCCAUGGUGUGUCGUUUGGACUGGUGAUGAGCGGGUCUUCUUUUAUAAUCCCACCACUCGUCUUUCUAUGUGGGACCGACCUGAUGAUCUGAUUGGCAGGGCAGAUGUUGACAAAAUUAUUCAGGAGCCCCCUCAUAAAAAAGGAAUGGAGGAAUUGAAGAAACUAAGGCACCCAACUCCGACAAUGCUGUCGAUCCAAAAGUGGCAAUUCUCUAUGAGUGCAAUUAAAGAGGAACAAGAAUUAAUGGAAGAAAUUAAUGAAGAUGAGCCUGUUAAAGCAAAAAAACGGAAGUAAGUAAUACAUACGAUUUGAUUGAGGUAGAUUAUAUCUUUUAAAAGUCGAUUUGGUAAUAAUUUGUGAUUGGAAGGGACAGGUAAUGUGAAUGUUGUUAGGAGGCAUGAUUGCUCUCUUAGGCCUGAUAAUAAAUAGCUUUGUUUUUCAUUGUAGAAAAUGUGUCCCUUCUUUUGCUAGAUUUGUAGAAGAUUUGGGUAUUCAUAUAUGUAUUAUGACUCCAAAUGAUAGUUUUGGAAUUAAUUCUUUUUGGAAAUUUAUUAGGUCUCAAUUUUAUGAAAAGUUAGUUUCCUCCCUCAUUUAGACCCCAAUGGAUACCAUUCCAGAGAUCUCAUAAAAACAGACACAGACUUCUCCCUCUUUAUAUGGUUAUCUUACGACUUACCUAGUCCUUGAGUCUGGUCAUUAACUCCUUGGUGAGGAGAGAACCCAUAAGCUUAGGAAGUGCUCUGCGAGAAAGAGACUGCUAAGAAGUAGAGGCAUUAGCUUGGCCAGUGCUCUAGAGUUGGGUAAAAUGUAAAUGUUAUGGCGGGGGGAAGGAUGGGGUAGAGGGUAUGCAUGUAUGGGGAAUGGGACCAUUAUUUAGCAGCAAAAAGGAAAGUUUGAAGACAUUAACAGGAACUGGUUAAUUGUAGUCCUUAUCUGAAAAGGACAGAUUGAAUGCAGCCAAAUUAUGGCAAAGAAAUCAGUAGGACAACCCCUAUAAAGGGUAGUUCUUUUAAAAAAAAUUUCUUUAUUGGCAACAACAUAAAAGAUAUGAAAGAAUCACUCAUAAUUUAUCAGCGUAACAUAGCUAUUCUCAUUUUUGCAAUUGACUUUUUAGUUCUUGACCAAAUGUAAUUUUUAUUAGUUGUGAUUAACUGAUUUUGUGCUUUUUUUUUAAAAAAAAAAAACCUAGAAUAAGACAUUUGUUUUGUUAAUUAUUAUAAAUGACUGUAUUCAUUCUGUUUAUGUACCAUAAUUUUGGAUGUUCCUACGAUGUUAAACUUUUAGGUUGUUUUUAAUUGUUUGUUCUUAUAGACAACUCUGUAAGGUUUUUAACUGCUUUUAUCAGGAGAAUGUCAAAGAAGUCCUUUAUGUGGAUUGCCCGAGCUUCUCUAUUUAGGUACAAAGCUAAAAGCCUGUUUUUCCUGGCUUAGUUUUUCUUUUAUUUCCUUUAUUGAGAUAGAUAGUGAUAGUUUGUAUUGUGACAUUUUCAUUUAGUAUAGUUCUAUAAAGGUUAUUUGUUUUUAUUAGUUACUUCUUGGAUGUCUUUUAACUCUAACUAUUUAAAUAGUUUUAAAAUUAUUAUUAUAAGAGGGUAUAUUGUUUGGCAAAUUGCUUUUACCUGUUUGUUUUGUGCAUAUCUUAGGUCACAGACUAUCUCGCUAAGUUCCUGCAGGUCACGGACUAUGUCUUCUAUUUCUUUUGAUUCAUUGCCUAAGUUGCUAAGUACCUCUCACUUGCAUUUGUGGGUUAGCCUUAGUUCCAUUUAAAUCUCUGGGGCUACCUACAGUUUCCUGUAUAGCAUGCUUUUGAAUUUCCACAUGUUCUGUUUUCCUAAUUCCCUUAAGUUUGUAUAGGGAAUAAGAGCCAAUUUUUAAAAUAUACUUAGCAGAUCAUAUUUAAGAAGGAAGAUCUGCUAAAAUACACCCAGAUAUUAUUGAAUUACAUACUUUUUUGGAUUAUUUACGUGAAUGGGCCUUUUUCAUAGUGCAUAUAUUUGAGAGGUGCCGUGAUUCCAUGUUUACAAUUUCACUUGAGUACCACACAGAAACAGGGUUGCCCUUACACCUGAGGUGCAUUUUUGGAGGAACAAGAAGUAGUUUAGUCAUUGAUGAACAGUUCUAAUUCCACCUAACUACUCCUGGGCCCAUGUUGCUCUCUGGGACCUGUCCUUCAACUUAAAUCUCAACUUAUCACCCAGAAAGUGAGUAAUAAAAAGUCAGGUAGGUAAGGUAUAUAUCUUACAUAUUCACUUGGCCAAGAUUGCAGAUAUUUUAGUUUUAUUUUUAAAAUGAAUGUUUGAGAUUACUAAAACAUUAUACCACUUAAUACCAAUUUUUAUUAGAUUUUACAAAAUAUUUUAUGUGUUUAUAAUGUAAAACAUUUUGGAAAAUACUGUUUUUUCUAUAUUUCAAGAACUAAAAAAAUUAUAUUUUGUGCUGUUUGAUUCUGACACAUAGAGGUUUACUGCAGUGUUAAACUUUUUUUUUUUUAAGUAAGGUUGCUCCCUUUUUAUGUUAUUAACCAGUGUCAGGGAGAGACAGCCCAUUAAAGGUGUAUUUUUUUCCUAAUAAUGUAGCCAUUGUAAAUCAUUAGAAGCCCAUUUUAAUUUUGUUAUUAUGAAAGUUAUUUAUCCCUUAGAGUUCAUUUGAAACCCUCAAUAUAAUUUGUUUUUGCCAAAAAUAUGCUGCUCAGUAGUGAGUCUUGAAAAUUCCUUUGAUUUUAAGAUUUCUAAUAAGAUCUGAGAAUUAAUAUUUUGUCAGUUGAUGUCUUAUAUUUUAUUUUUUAUAGGAGAGACGAUAAUAAAGACAUUGACUCAGAGAAAGAAGCUGCCAUGGAAGCUGAAAUUAAAGCUGCCCGAGAAAGGGCCAUUGUCCCUCUGGAGGCUCGAAUGAAGCAGUUCAAGGACAUGCUGCUAGAGAGAGGGGUCAGAAAACAAUCUUUGGGGGAGAUAUUUCUGUUUUGUAUAAGUAAUAUAAAUAUGUCUUGCUAAAAGGUCAAAUCUAAGGUUAGUGCUCAUGUUAUGGGGGGGGAUAAGGGGAUUUUUAAAAUUACUGUACAUUUUUUGCAACAGCCUUUUUCUUGGCUAAUCUUAUCAUAUUUAACUAAAUGCCAUUUUACUGUCCUUUUAAGUACAAAUAACACUUAACAUUUAUUGGGUCAUUAAAUUGUGGUGAGUAAUAUAAGACGAGUAUUAACAUUACAGAAUGGCGGACUGCUUGGGAUAGGUAAGGUAUAUAUGAUUAUUCUUCCUUUAAUAUCUUGAGAAUGGCUUUUGUUAAAGGAGAACUGAUACUUUGUGAUAUUAUUAUUUGCAAUUUAAUUGAGAAGGGAUUUCAACUAUUUGGUUAUAUUCACAGAUUCAUUUGAAUAAGUAAAAUUGUUCAAUUUUAAAUCACAACAUUGUUCACAAGAUUGGAGCAAGCAUGAGAAAUCAAAAUAUAAAUCUUCAAGGCUUUUUCUGAUGUACUGAUUUUUAAAAUGUCACACAGUAGUAGUUAUUUUAAUGAGUAAUUAAGUGUCUGUUAUUUCUAUAUAAUAUAGGAAUGUUCAGAGCCAAUUAGUGUGGAAAUUUGCUAUUGCUAGCCUCCCACUGCUUGUCAUUUAUUAGUGAUGGAAACUUCAGUAUGGUUUUAUGUCUCCUUUAUAAACAGAUAUCCUGUAGAUUUCAAGCAAAAUUAUGACCUUUAUAUUUUUAGAGGAGACUUAAUUAUGAGGCAAUACGUUUUUAUUUUAAAGGUGUCUGCUUUUUCAACGUGGGAGAAGGAGUUGCACAAGAUAGUUUUUGAUCCCCGGUACUUACUUCUCAAUCCUAAAGAGAGAAAACAGGUGUUUGAUCAGUAUGUAAAGACCAGGGCAGAGGAAGAACGCAGGGAAAAGAAAAAUAAAAUAAUGCAAGCCAAGGAAGAUUUCAAAAAAAUGAUGGAAGAAGCAAAAUUUAAUCCAAGAGCAACUUUUAGUGAAUUUGCAGCCAAGCAUGCUAAAGAUUCAAGAUUCAAAGCAAUUGAAAAGAUGAAAGACCGAGAAGCCUUGUUUAAUGAGUUUGUGGCCGCUGCUAGGAAGAAAGAGAAAGAAGAUUCGAAGACCAGAGGUGAGAAGAUUAAAUCGGAUUUCUUUGAACUAUUAUCUAAUCAUCACUUGGACAGUCAGUCUCGAUGGAGCAAAGUAAAAGACAAAGUAGAAAGUGAUCCACGUUACAAAGCAGUAGAUAGUUCAUCAAUGAGAGAAGACCUUUUCAAACAGUACAUUGAAAAAAUAGCCAAGAAUUUAGACUCAGAAAAAGAAAAGGAGCUUGAAAGGCAAGCCCGCAUUGAGGCAAGCCUUCGAGAACGAGAAAGGGAGGUUCAAAAGGCCCGUUCAGAACAAACAAAAGAAAUAGAUCGAGAGAGAGAGCAGCACAAACGAGAAGAAGCUAUCCAGAAUUUCAAAGCUCUUCUGUCUGACAUGGUACGUUCUUCAGAUGUGUCAUGGUCUGAUACUCGUAGGACCCUCCGAAAAGAUCACCGCUGGGAAUCUGGAUCCUUAUUGGAAAGAGAGGAGAAAGAGAAGCUUUUUAAUGAACACAUUGAAGCACUUACCAAAAAAAAGAGAGAGCACUUUAGGCAACUUCUGGAUGAAACUUCUGCAGGUUUGCAGGUGAUUGUCUUAGGCCACCUUGAAAGUAUGGCCAUGAAAAUAACUCUUGUGGCAAGCCAACAAAAAGAAAUUGCAUUAACGCUGCUUCCCUGUCCCUAACUAGUCCAGUUACGCUUGGGCAUUACAAGAGAUCGCAGAUUACCUUAACAUCCACGUGGAAAGAAGUAAAAAAAAUCAUUAAGGAAGAUCCUCGAUGUAUUAAGUUCUCCUCCAGUGACAGGAAAAAACAAAGAGAAUUUGAAGAAUAUAUCAGAGACAAAUAUAUCACAGCCAAAGCUGACUUCAGGACGCUUUUGAAAGAGACCAAAUUUAUAACAUAUAGAUCCAAAAAAUUAAUCCAAGAAUCAGAUCAGCACCUGAAAGAUGUAGAAAAAAUUUUACAGAAUGACAAACGGUAUCUAGUACUGGACUGUGUGCCAGAGGAGAGGCGUAAACUGAUUGUGGCAUAUGUUGAUGACCUGGAUCGCCGGGGUCCACCCCCACCUCCCACAGCAUCGGAGCCCACGAGACGAUCAACAAAAUAAUUCUAAAUACUCUUCCAUAGGGGCAUCUAUUCAAAAUGCUUGCAUGAGCCAAUUUUCAGGUUUUUACAUAUAUGUGCAUUAGUCAACCUAUUGCGAAACCAUCUGACAAACAGAAGGAGAAGCAUUUGUGAACAGUUUCUGAACAGAACACUUUGGAAAUAUUUAUGCUUUUCUUUGUGUGGCAUGACUGACAUACAUACUCAAAUAUAGGCUGUCUCUAGUAAAUCUUAAAAUCUUGAAGCUAAAAUUCAUCCUUUUAUGAGGUGUGGAAGUCAGUGACUUGGUGACGUUCUUCCUAGCAGUGUUAAUACAUGCAAGAAGUAAGAGCAUUUGUGGCUUGAACUUGCCAGAUGCAAAUACCACAGACUCCAAGAAAACCCGAGUUGGGGUUUGUUUUGUUUUGAUUUUUUUUUUUUAAAGCGGGUAAAAGAGAAAACACUGAAAAUUGAAUUCUUAUCUUCCAGAGGCUACAAUUAUUAUAAUGGACAAUACUUUUACCUUUGUCUCUAAAGAUCAGAUUAGUUUUAUUUGUUCACUUACGUGCUUUGAUUAUCCCCUCUGAAUUAUAGACCGAGUCUUGUUGUUUAGCCUAAGAGAAGAUUUAUGUAGUAAUUUCUUCUCAGGUAUGGAACCACGGUCAUAACUAACAUGUUGGCCAGAAUAGAACCACUGGUUAAACAUAUUUUAUUCACCAUUAAGUGAUCUUUAUCAAUAUUCUGGAUUAGACAACAAAUUACCUUUCUGGGUGUUUCUUGUAAACUAUACUCCUGUUUGAAUGUUAAACUUUGUUGCUAAAGUUUAAUUUUAAGAUGUUUGAAUGUUCAGUUUAUGUAUUUGAACUACAAUAAACCAACCCUUUUUAUAUAUCUGUAUUGUAUAUGAUUAUUGUUACUUAAUUUUUAAGAGCUUAUUUUAACCUGUUUUUAAAAGCAGCAAAUAGAAUUUCCCACAAAGUAAGUUGACUCUAAAUCUUAAGUAUUACCUAGUUUUUAAAGGUUUGAAUAUAAUAAUGCAGUAUUUGCAGUAUAAAAAGGAAGGAAUUUGUAGAGAAUCAUUUUGGUGCUCAAGUCUCUUAGCAGUGCCUUAUUGCCUCAUAGCAAGAAGAUGCUGGGGUUUUUUUUGUUUUUGUCCUUUGUAUUAAUGUAUGAUGGUUUGCGCCUUUUUGGCAUUCUUUCAACAUGUCGUGUACAUCACACCAUGAAUCAGUUCCUAAUUGAUAUAUCUAGCUUUACCUCCCGAGUUAAAAAAAAAUCUUUUUAUUUUAUGCCUUCAUAGGUUGCUCGUUUCAGAGUGCCACAUAAAUAAAAUGUUUAACAAAA
Molecule: RNA transcript, 8025 nt
Organism: Homo sapiens (human)
Lineage: Eukaryota; Metazoa; Chordata; Mammalia; Primates; Hominidae
Gene: TCERG1
Gene name: transcription elongation regulator 1
Exons: 20
Source: RefSeq, marked reviewed